GACGAACGCUGGCGGCGUGCUUAACACAUGCAAGUCGAACGGAAAGGCCCUGCUUUUGUGGGGUGCUCGAGUGGCAAACGGGUGAGUAACACGUGAGUAACCUGCCCUUGACUUUGGGAUAACUUCAGGAAACUGGGGCUAAUACCGGAUAGGAGCUCCUGCUGCAUGGUGGGGGUUGGAAAGUUUCGGCGGUUGGGGAUGGACUCGCGGCUUAUCAGCUUGUUGGUGGGGUAGUGGCUUACCAAGGCUUUGACGGGUCGCCGGCCUGGGAGGGUGACCGGCCACAUGGGGACUGAGAGACGGCCCAGACUCCUACGGGAGGCAGCAGUGGGGAAUAUUGCACAAUGGGCGGAAGCCUGAUGCAGCAACGCCGCGUGCGGGAGGACGGCCUUCGGGUUGUAAACCGCUUUCGCCUGUGACGAAGCGUGAGUGACGGGAAUGGGGAAAGAAGCACCGGCUAACUACGU
Molecule: ribosomal RNA, 467 nt
Filed under: uncultured bacterium
Lineage: Bacteria
Description: partial 16S ribosomal RNA
Rfam family: Bacterial small subunit ribosomal RNA
Source: RNAcentral